Molecule: ribosomal RNA, 301 nt
Filed under: uncultured bacterium
Lineage: Bacteria
Description: partial 16S ribosomal RNA
Rfam family: Bacterial small subunit ribosomal RNA
Source: RNAcentral
CAGUAGCCGGGGAAUACGGAGGGUGCAAGCGUUAAUCGGAAUUACUGGGCGUAAAGCGCACGCAGGCGGUCUGACAAGUCAGAUGUGAAAUCCCCGGGCUUAACCUGGGAACUGCAUUUGAAACUGUCAGGCUGGAGUCUUGUAGAGGGGGGUAGAAUUCCAGGUGUAGCGGUGAAAUGCGUAGAGAUCUGGAGGAAUACCGGUGGCGAAGGCGGCCCCCUGGACAAAGACUGACGCUCAGGUGCGAAAGCGUGGGGAGCAAACAGGAUUAGAGACCCCUGUAGUCCCUGUCUCUUAUACC